GGGGACAACUCCGGGAAACUGGAGCUAAUACCGAAUGUGGUCCUGCGGCGCAUGUCGCAGACACUAAAGGGGGGGACUCUUCGGAGCCUCCCGCUAGAAGAGGGGCCCGCGUGCCAUUAGCUAGUUGGUGAGGUAACGGCCCACCAAGGCGUAUGGCUAGCUGGUCUGAGAGGACGACCAGCCACACUGGGACUGAGACACUGCCCAGACUCCUACGGGAGGCUGCAGUCGAGGAUCUUGGACAAUGCGCGAAAGCGUGAUCCAGCGACGCUGCGUGGAGGAUGAAGGCCUUCGGGUUGUAAACUCCUGUCAUUCGGGACAAAUGGCUCCGCCGUGAACAACGGCGGGGUAUGAUGGUACCGGAAGGGGAAGCCACGGCUAACUCUGUGCCAGCAGCCGCGGUAAUACAGAGGUGGCGAGCGUUGUUCGGAUUUACUGGGCGUAAAGGGUGUGUAGGCGGUCUCGUGUGUCGGGUGUGAAAUCCCACGGCCUAACCGUGGAAUUGCAUCCGAAACUGCGGGGCUAGAGUGCAGGAUGGGAGAGCGGAAUUCUUGGUGUAGCGGUGAAAUGCGUUGAUAUCAAGAGGAACACCGGUGGCGAAGGCGGCUCUCUGGAAUGCAACUGACGCUCAGACACGAAAGUUGGGGGAGCAAACAGGAUUAGAUACCCUGGUAGUCCCAACCCUAAACGGUGUGCACUUGGUGUUGGAGGAAUUGACCCCUCCAGUGCCGGAGCUAACGCGUUAAGUGCAUCGCCUGGGGAGUACGGCCGCAAGGCUAAAACUCAAAGAAAUUGACGGGGGCCCGCACAAGCGGAGGAGCAUGUGGCUCAAUUCGAUGCACGCGAAGAACCUUACCAGGGCUUGACAUGGUGCUGCAAGCCCCGUGAAAGCGGGGAAGCCUUCGAGGGUGCACCACAGGUGCUGCAUGGCUGUCGUCAGUUCGUGCCGUGAGGUGUUAGGUUAAGUCCCGCAACGAACGCAACCCCUAUGUUUAGUUGCCACCGGCGGUGAUGAGCCGCCGAGCACUCUAACCAGACUGCCCGUACAAGCGGGAGGAAGGUGGGGAUGACGUCAAGUCAGUAUGGCCCUUACGUCCUGGGCUGCACACGUGCUACAAUGGCCGGUACAGAGGGAUGCAAGACCGCGAGGUGGAGCAAAUCCUCAAAACCGUCCCCAGUUCAGAUUGAAGUCUGCAACUCGACUUCAUGAAGUUGGAUUCGCUAGUAAUGGCGCAUCAGCUACGGCGCCGUGAAUACGUUCCCGGGCCUUGUACACACCGCCCGUCACAUCAUGAAAGCCGUCUGCACCCGAAGUCGCUGAGCCAACCCGCAAGGGGGGCAGGCGCCGAAGGUGUGGGUGGUGAUUGGGAUGAAGUCGAAACAAGGUA
RNAcentral lists this ribosomal RNA (1388 nucleotides) under metagenome. RNAcentral's name for it is "bacterial SSU rRNA". It matches the Rfam family "Bacterial small subunit ribosomal RNA", at positions 139 to 1498 of the family's 1533-position model. The record is from RNAcentral.